AAAUAAUAAAAGAAUCAAGUGAAUAAUUUUUACCUCAAGGAUAAUUUUUUCAAGAAAUGAAGAGUUUGAGUGUUGUCAAGGCUCACAAAUAGUAUAUAUGGAUGUCAUAGAAAGGCGACAAGGCCUUAGUUUAAUCCUCUUACCUACAUCCAAAGUGCUACAAUACAUAUGAGACUUAAGUACAUCCUUUCUUACAAGGACUACACU
This 207-nucleotide long non-coding RNA is filed under the name Physcomitrium patens. RNAcentral describes it as "long non-coding RNA (PPAT_LNC003830)". The record is from RNAcentral. Lineage: Eukaryota; Viridiplantae; Streptophyta; Bryopsida; Funariales; Funariaceae.